This 449-nucleotide ribosomal RNA is filed under the name uncultured bacterium. RNAcentral describes it as "partial 16S ribosomal RNA". It matches the Rfam family "Bacterial small subunit ribosomal RNA", at positions 29 to 523 of the family's 1533-position model. The record is from RNAcentral.
AACGAACGCUGGCGGCAGGCCUAACACAUGCAAGUCGAGCGAACCCUUCGGGGUCAGCGGCGGACGGGUGAGUAACGCGUGGGAAUAUGCCCUUCUCUACGGAAUAGUCUCGGGAAACUGGGGGUAAUACCGUAUACGCCCUUUGGGGGAAAGAUUUAUCGGAGAAGGAUUAGCCCGCGUUGGAUUAGGUAGUUGGUGGGGUAAUGGCCUACCAAGCCUACGAUCCAUAGCUGGUUUGAGAGGAUGAUCGGCCACACUGGGACGAAGACACGGCCCAGACUCCAACGGGAGGCAGCAGUGGGGAAUUUUAUACAAUGGGGGCAACCCUGAUCUAGCCAUGCCGCGUGAGUGAUAAAGGCCCUAGGGUUGUAAAGCUCUUUCAGCUGGGAAGAUAAUGACGGUACCAGCAGAAGAAGCCCCGGCUAACUCCGUGCCAGCCGCCGCAGUAA